GUAGGUGGCAAGCGUUGUCCGGAAUUAUUGGGCGUAAAGCGCGCGCAGGCGGUUCUUUAAGUCUGAUGUGAAAGCCCACGGCUCAACCGUGGAGGGUCAUUGGAAACUGGAGAACUUGAGUACAGAAGAGGAAAGCGGAAUUCCACGUGUAGCGGUGAAAUGCGUAGAGAUGUGGAGGAACACCAGUGGCGAAGGCGGCUUUCUGGUCUGUAACUGACGCUGAGGCGCGAAAGCGUGGGGAGCAAACAGGAUUAGAUACCCUGGUAGUCCACGCCGUAAACGAUGAGUGCUAAGUGUUAGGGGGGUUUUCCGCCCCCCUUAGUGCUGCAGCUAACGCAUUAAGCACUCCGCCUGGGAGUACGGCCGCAAGGCUG
RNAcentral lists this ribosomal RNA (374 nucleotides) under uncultured organism. RNAcentral describes it as "partial 16S ribosomal RNA". It matches the Rfam family "Bacterial small subunit ribosomal RNA", at positions 527 to 896 of the family's 1533-position model. The record is from RNAcentral.